CGGGAAUUUCUAAUUCAGUGUCUUCUAAUUCUCCCGCAUUCAUUGAGGGACCAGUCACAGCACUGCCCAGGCGCUGGAGACAUUAAUGAUCACGUGCCGUCCUGCUGUACCCGCCCCUCGUUCACUCCGAUUGGUUGGAGGACCAGCCGCGUCCGGUGGUCCGCCAGUCCCACCCAUUCACCUCCUAUUGGUAGGUGAGCUGCCGUCAAUCAGUCAGGCCCCAUUGUGAGGUGAAUGGCGGGAUCCACCCUCUCUCUGCCCUGAGAUGAGCUUGCGGCUGGUGGCCAUUCAACCCGUUGGAAUUGUACUCUCUCACUCGAGAAACGGCGUCGGGCUCGAUCCUGUCUCUUUUUUGGAGCAGCAACCGCAGAAGAACGGGGAGGGGCGGCUCCCCGAGCGGCUUCUUCAGAAGAAGGGUCUAGGCCCGAAACGUCAGCCUUCCUGCUCCUCUGAUGCUGCUUGGCCUGCUGUGUUCAUCCAGCUCUACACCUUGUUAUCUCCCGAUUCCUGUUGGCUGCUUCAGGCUUUCCCCGUCCCGGGCGCUGGUGUCACAACGCAGCGGCUGUCCAGUGAGGUUGCGAGUGAGACUCCCUCCUGUGUGCAACAUCUGGGAGCAAAGCAAUGUCUUUUUCUUUUCAUUUUUCUUGUCUGUUUCUUUUCUCAUUCUGGAGGUAGUGAGAUGGAGGAAAUUGUUUACUAACAGCAAUUGAAGGUACAGGAAGUGAAACCAGUGAGGCAACAGACACUGGAAAGAUUAAUUAAAGUAACUCACAGCCACCUUGUCAGGAGCAGCUGGGUAAUAAAUGCUGGCCUAGACAAUGAUACCCACAUCCUUUGAGUGAAUGAGUAUAAAAAAGGCAGUGGUCCAGG
Long non-coding RNA from Rhincodon typus (whale shark), 870 nucleotides. RefSeq lists it as uncharacterized. Lineage: Eukaryota; Metazoa; Chordata; Chondrichthyes; Orectolobiformes; Rhincodontidae. The record is from RefSeq and is a predicted model, not a curated record. The transcript has 3 exons.